AGCAACCCUUCUGGGUCCCCUUCCACCACGCAGAAGCUUUACUUUCGCUUUCACUUUACUUUUGCUUUCACUUUAACAAAUCUUGCAGCCGCACACUCUUUGGGUCCGCCCGUUUCUCUAAUCAAGUUGUAACACUCGCUGCUGUGGUCCACAGCUUCAUUCCUUGAAGCCCGUGAGACACGAACGCUUCCAUUGAGAAAAACCUUCCAUCAGAAGAAGACUUCUCGUCUCAGUGGGACUGCUGAGUUGAAUGGAUGACCUUUGUUUGUUUAAACUGUUGGAAAAUCAAUAUUUAAAAUGAAAUCUAGAAACUGAAGUGUGCCCUCUGCAGGAUCACCAGAAUGAUGGGAAAACUGAACACAAUCAACUCAUGAACUCCCCAAGAUGCUGCAGGAACUACAGACCCAGGAAAUCAACUGUUAUGACUGACUCUCAAUUAAAAUCAGUGCCUGCCUCUGAGCUAUUGAUGAUUCUAAAAAGUACAGCAUCCACUACCAUUACUUCCUUAUGUAUAAGGGCUGUCACUCUUUAAGCAAAAUAAACAGAUUUUUGAGCAUCAUCUCUUUUUUGGAUCAUCAUUUUGCAAGUGGAGAUUGUGCUUUUUUUUCUGAAGCUUUGGUAGUGUAACUGUAAGAGUCCUGGAAUUGGAAAAGCAAAUCCAGAAGUUGAGUUCCAUGACUUUUUUGCUGUUUGCCUUUGGACUUGCAUCAUUUAUAUUUUUAAUUCAUCGAGGAUGAGAAAAUUGAUUAACACAAAAUCUUUUCAUGUCUUUUCUGAUGAGAGACUAGCUGAAUCCAAGAAGAGAAGCCCUUGAAGAGUGUAUUCUAUUCUAGACAAGCAUUCACACAUUGGCUUCUUUGGUGCCAGAUUAAAGAAUGAAGAAAGGAUCAAAUUGAGACAUCCAGGGGGGAAGAGUUCCCUGGCAAAACUCCAAUCUGCCUGAGCACUGAGGUGGAGCCACAGAAGUCCGGGUCAUUUGCACCUGGGAGGAGCCUGGCCCCUCCUCUUCCUGUGUGGAAUCUGGGAUUUAAUCUGUGAGGAGGGAAGGCCAAGGGCAGGAAGCACAGGCUCUCACUUCACUAAGAGUCUCUGUUUCCCCUUUUUUUCCUUUAUGCCUAAUUAAUAAAUCCCAUUUUUCUCACUCUUCAAAUAGUCUUCAAGCCUAAAUUUUCAUGACCAUGGAACAAGGACCCCAUCUUUAGCUGAACUAAGGAAAAGUCCUGCAACAAAAUUCUUUGCUAAAAAUACAUGAGGUUGCCUUUUCCUUCUUAAUCUUAAAAGAAAUAUAUUUCAAUGGUUAACGUUUUAGUAAUUCAAAAAUUAUCAAGCAUUUGUUCACAACCAUAAGAUGUGCAUUGUUUUAUAUUCCUACUUAAUAAUAGACUAUAAUUGUCUAAUUAGACUGCCGAUGUUGAUCUUUGUGGCUCAUUGCAUUGAUUAUAAGCAGUGUUUUGGGUUUGUGUGUGUGUGUCAAAUUUAGGGUUUUUUUGGUAUGGCUGCUGGUUGGUGUAGCCUGUAUCCAGUAUCCUGUAUUAAUUCUAAUAUUUGCAUUUUGAACAUAUUUACAAGUUGCUAAAAUAGCAAAGCUUCGAGAUGAGCCUGGCUGAUAUGGCAAAACCCCGUCUCUACUAAAAAUACAAAAAUUAGCCUGGUGUGGUGGUGCAUGCCUGUAAUCCCAGCUACUUGGAAGUCUGAGGCAGGAGAAUCUCUUGAACCCAGAAGGUGGAGGUUGCAGUGGGCCAAGAUCGCACCACUGCACUCCAGCCUCGGUGAUAGAGCGAGACUACGUCUCAAAAAUAAAAUAAAAUAAAAUAAAAUAAAAAUAGCAAAGCUAUGUAUGGUUUCUCUGAGUUUUGUAAUUUAUCAUUGUUAACUGCAGAAAUUUAUUAUAUGAGACAUAUUAUAUGAGACAUAUAAGUGAAUUUGGAUUGGGUUUAAUUUUAUAUUUUUGAAUAUAGUUCUUCAAGAUAAAUUUUAUCUUAGACCUCAAGAAAUAAAAAUAAAAUAAAUUAGAUAUACAAACGA
Molecule: long non-coding RNA, 2025 nt
Filed under: Homo sapiens (human)
Lineage: Eukaryota; Metazoa; Chordata; Mammalia; Primates; Hominidae
Description: non-protein coding LINC02328:39
Source: RNAcentral